Molecule: long non-coding RNA, 997 nt
Organism: Mesocricetus auratus (golden hamster)
Lineage: Eukaryota; Metazoa; Chordata; Mammalia; Rodentia; Cricetidae
Exons: 2
Source: RefSeq, a predicted model, not a curated record
UGCUACAAUCUGAAUGUUGGUGUCUCUUCAAACUUCAAGAGUUAAAAAUCCACUCCUCCCUGAGAAGGGCGGUAUGCACCAAAAAGGGAUCGCAGCCCUCCAGGUCAUGGCACUAGGUAUUUUUGUCAGAGCAUCAAGACAGCAACUGAUGCAGCUCUCCGUAUGGGCUCCUCACAUGUACAUAAAUAUGGAAGAAUAUCCAACUGGUUUCAGCCUUGAGUGGGAGUAGGGUCAUAUUGACCAAAAAUUAUUUAGCCCACUACUUAUUUUCCUGCUAGAUUUUCUUAACUUUUCCUUUUUUAAUAAGAAUUUCAGUCUUAUAAAAAUGCAUAAAUAGUGAACAAUCUUAUAAUCCAUUCACAGAGUCACAAUGUGUGCCACGCUUCCUCAGUCCUCUCUAAUCUAGCCUAUCUAUUGCAUUUUAGUUGACUAAAAGCCCAUUUUCAACUUUGAUUACAGGCUUCACCCACACGGCGCUAACCGACUUGGAGGCCAGUACUCUUUCCCGCUGGCACAAAUUCAGCAAGGGUCAUAGGGGACUGGAGAUGGCAGCCCCUAAAACGAUUCUGGGAGCCGGGCGUUGGUGGCGCACGCCUUUAAUCCCAGCACUCAGGAGGCAGAGGCAGGCGGAUCUCUGUGAGUUCGAGGCCAGGCUGGACCGACAGCCUCCAAAACAGAGAAACCCUGUCUCGUAAAACCAAAAAAAAAAAAAUUAAAAUGAUUCUGGGAGUGGUGCUGCUGCCCUGUGUUGGGAGAGAGCGUGUCCAGGGGAGAGACGAUUAAACAAAGAUCUGGGGCUGAGCUUGAACACCAGGUCCAACAGAACCGAUCAAACCAAAGCAGAGUCGGUCAUGCUAAGUGCCAGACUGUGAAAGUGAAGGUGUAAAGGAGCCGAAAGAUCCCAAAGGUGAAAGCAGGUUCCAGUCCACCUAGGCCAGCCAAAUAAGGAUAUCCAAAUAGAUAACUACACGAACAAACAAAUAAAAGUUGAACCAUG